CCCCAACAACUCCGUUUAAUUGUUUUAGUGCUAUGCUUUUCUCUUAACCCCACGUCAUUUUAGUUAAUGCUUUGAGGUUUGAGUGAACAUCUAAAGAUUUUCUGCCUUCUUUCUAAUAUACCCCCUUUGGAGCAAUUAACAUUAGAGGCAAAAACUCGCACUGAUAUCAAUGGCAGUUCCCCAUCCCAAUGCUAAUUGUUGUGUGUGUGUUCUGAGGGGGGCUUUUAAUGCCUCAGAAAGGAUUAUUGUAGACUUGGAAAACGUUCAGAAAAAAGGCUACCAAGAUGAUCAAGGGGAUGGAGCCUGAUGAGGAACGGUUGCAGUGUUUGGGACUUUUUAGUUUAGGAAAAGGGCGAGCAAGAUGUGGUGCAUAAUGGAGAAAGUGGAUAGAAACAUGUUCUUCUCCCUCUCUCAUAACACUAGAAAUUGUGACACCCCAUGAUGCUGAAUUUUGGAAGAUUCAGCACAGAUAAAGCAAAGGGCAUGGUUAAACUAUGGAACUCACUCUCACAGGUGGGAAAAAAACAAAACAAAAAAGGGUUUUGCCCACUUGUUGAACCUGGCCUGUGAGGGUUGAGGAGAUUACAAUCUGCCUCACCAGGCUAGAAAAGUUCCCUACCCCUAUUCUACAGCUUGUUUCAUGAGGGAUAAACAACCUGUCUAGAAUCAAUUGCAUGGUUUUUCCAAGCAGGCCCAGCCCUACCACUGGCAGAGUGAAAUGGCAGCCUCAGGAAGCACAUAGUUGCUUAUUAUUAUUUUUACUCCUAAGUGGAUGUGUUUCUUGGGAUUUUCUACCUCAGAUACCAAAAUACAUUGACCAGUUUUGAGUACUAAGCAAUCUGCCUGUGGGAAGGCACCAAUUGGGGAAGCCUGGGAAGUUUCCUGAAGCAUCGUAUAACUCAAGAGAAUACUAGGCGGAUCUCUCUCUCUCCUGAGAGGAAUCCUGACACAGAGGGUUUUUUAUUUUUAUUUUUUUUGAUGGAAUACUUCAACUCCCUCCUUUUUUCUGACUAUGAUUAAAUAUUGAAGGGGUAUGGGAAAUUCAACCAUUAAAGAAGCUGAUGGAUGUGCAAAAAUAAUAAUCCAUAAUCUGACAUUUUGCCAACAUUUUAAAUGUUGCGUCUAAAAUUAUGUCUCUGUGCUUGCCAUAUGAGGUCAGGCACUGUAAAUUGACAUCAGUGUGGGACCUGGAGAAAUAUAAAUAGGCAUAGACUAUUCUUAUUAUUAACAGCUCCAUCAGAGCUGGCCCAACCAUGAGGCAAAGUGAGGUGUACUGCCACAGAUGCUAAGCUCCCCUGGCCCCAGGACAGAGCUGUUAGGGAGUCAUUCUGCAAAGAAACAAUUCGAAAGUUCCUAGAAGGUUCCAGAGUUUUUCCUUCAAGUUUGGGAGUGGCACUCUGAGUUUAAUUAGUGUCAGCUGGAAGUGCUAAUAAAAAGAAGACCACUCGGCUUCGUUUUUGCAGAUGCCGGAUAGCAAACGUCUGACCGAAGAGCGCUGCCCUUCGUCAUUGUUCACCACUUCCGCGAGAGAGGAAGAAAGAAAAGCUCUGCUAAACAGUUUAGAAAGAGGUUUACCCUAACCACCAGUAUUAGCGCAGCGAAAGUGUGUGGACGGUAACCUCUAAUAAGAGCAACAAGAUCUCUCUCCUGGGCCCCCAAUCUGUUUGCAGUGGAGGGUGCUAUCCUGUCGCAACUCCCACUUCAGUCAGCUUCUGUACAUGGCAGCCAUCUUGUCUUUCACCUUAGGGCACAAAAUGUCUUGGGCAGGCCCUGAGCUCCAUCAAUGUACAUGGUGGUCAAAAAAGAUUGGGAGUGAGGUCGGCCGAUGCCUGAAUCAACCGAAGGAGAGAUGUUCCUGCCUGGGCCUCUCCUGCAUUAAACUCUCUUCCCCCAAAUAUGCCCGCAUGCGGUUGGCUGCCACGAUUGGACACAUCCACGCCCUUCUGUUCUAAAAAGGAGAGAUGCAAAGUACUUCUUUCUGUGAGCGAUUGUGGUGGUGGCUAAUGUAGGUGCCUACCCCCCCAUUGAUAGGAAUGGCUUAUGGGGAGGAGGCAUGCCCACAGCAUUUUGUUUUUCUGUCUCUUUUUCAGCUCUUUUAGGUAUGGUGGCCAUUUUGUCACACCCCAUGGCAGCCAUUUUGUGACUGGCACCCACAACACUUUCUCAAAAUGCGCCCACUGGCUCAAAAAGUUUGGGAACCCCUGAUAUAUAGUCUCAGUGACAACUGCAACAAGUUGAGGAGAGAGGCAUACAUCGAAACAUGGUAAACAUCAGUCCGGUAGCUACAAUUAGUCACAACCCUUCUGCGAAUAAUUACAAUGUGCUUUCAGGUAUGCGUUUCCUUUUCUACAGGUGGUGGAAUUCACCACAGAGACACAUGAUGAAUAAACAAGAACUUGUCUUUCCCUGUAAUGUCAGAAGAGGCCCUGAGCCAAAUAGUUUUUUUGGGUGUGUGAUAGAUGAAAUCUCACAGGCCUUAAGGAAAGCAAUGAAGUGGGCAAGCGUUUUUUCUCUCUUCUUCUUCUUCCGUGCAACUCAUCUUCUUGACAAUAACAACAAAGAAAACACUUGUUCGUCUCUCUCCAGCCCCAAAUUUUCUAAAAGCAAAGCACUCCAGAGCUAAGUCAUUGCAAGUGUUUGCAUUGAGCAACGAACAAAGCCCGGCUCCUUCAAGAGAUGUGGAUGAUUGGUAAACAACUUGGCCACUCCAUGCGUGACUUCGCCGCUCAUCUUUCCUUCUCCUUGUUCCCAUCAGGGAAGUAGCAUCUCCACCCUGAACUUUUAUUUUCUAGUCUGAAUGACAUUAAACUUACUUUACUUGAAGAAUUUUCUCUCCGUAACAUGACUCUACUUUCUAGGAAGACCUUUCAGUCAGAAAGCACAGGAGAAGAGCUACGGGGUCCGGGGUUUUUGCAAAUGUCGUCAAUAGAAAAUGGCCGAGUAAAAUAUACAGUGGUACCUCGGGAUGCGAAUGGGAUCUGUUCAGAGCCCCGUUCACAUCCAGAAGCAAAAGUAACUAGCAAUGGCACGUCUGCGCACGCACACGUCGCUUUUUGCCGCUUCUGUGCAUGUGCGCGAUGUCAUUUUGAGCGUCUGCGCAUGCGCGAUUGGCAAAACCUGGAAGUAACGUGCUUCGUUACUUCCAGGUUGCCGUGGAGCGCAACUCGAAUGCACUCAACAUGAAGCAUAUUCAACCCAAGGUAUGACUGUAUGGUCUUUCAAUGUUUGCUGUGCUAUUUUGCUUACUAGGCAUUAGCAUGGACAGGCAGACGUUCUUCUAAAUGGAAUUGGGGGUGAUGGCAGGCACUUUUGGGCAGUGCCAGCCUUGAAAUGGAGGGAGGGUGACUGUGGUCACACCAUGCAUGAAGAGCACUGUUAUACCACUUUAACAACCUUGGCUUCCCCCAGCGAAUCCUGGCAAUGGUUAUUUUUAAAGGGUGUUGGGACCUGUGGCUCUAACAACAGUUUUCUUCUGAGAAAUUUCAUCCCUGCUAUUAAUGCUGGAUGAAAUUAUAUUGGUUAGUUCAAACUGAUAGCUGCAGGAAGCAAUUGGGUAAGAGAAGAAGGCUGGAAGAUGUCCACUGUUUCUUUGCAAAGGAGGAAAAUAGGGAGGGACCCAGGACACAGAACCAGAACCUCUCAGCAGAGAAACAAUUGUGGCAGCAGAGACACCCCCCCUUCUGAUCCAAAGUAAGACACUGUUCAGUUCAGUUAGAUGUUAAGCAUGCAUGGUAUAUUUGCAAGGGAAGAGGGAGGACAGAAAAGGAGAACAACUUGGCCACUCCCCCUAUGACCUCUCAUUGGCCACACUUCUGUGACCUCAGUGCAGCCCCACCAAGUUACCAUAUUUUUCGGUGUAUAAGCCGAUGCUUUUUUAUUAUAAAAUAAUAUUUUAAUUUUUGGGUCGUCUUAGGCACGGAUAGUGCAGAGGGGGGGGACGGGUGAUUGAUUGCAGUCGCAAACAUUAGAUUGUCAGCGGCGAUUGGGCAGGUGAUUGGUGGCUGCGGCAAAGGCUGUUGUUGAUUGGCUGUCGCUGUGGCAAUUGAUUGGCAAGUUGAUUGGCUAUUGCUUUCGGCAACCCCCCCCAAAAAAGCUCAACAACUCUGGGCAAUCUCCUCCCAUUUUCUAAAUUUGUAGUCCCCCAAAAUAGGGGUCAUCUUAUACACGGUAAAUGUUGAGAACAAUGGCAGCAAAGAAACAGUAAGGUGAAAGUAGGAUAAAAAGAAAAUGUUCCAAUUUCUGAUAGCUCAGUUGGUUAGAGCAUGGUGCUGAUUACACCAGGGUUGCAGGUUUGAUCACCCUAUAGGACAGCUGCAUAUUCCUGCAUUGUAGGGGAUUGGACUAGAUCAGAGGUUGUCAAACUAAGGCCCGCGGGCCAGAUACGGCCUACUGCGCUCAUUAAUUCGGCCCGCGAACCUUGCGGACCCUGCCGCCCGCUCAGUCCCCAUGCUAAACAGGCGCGGCAAUUGACUGCUGCGACGCAGCCAAUCAAAAGCUGUGCAUGCCUCUGGGCGGGCAGCGACGCUGGAAGCUCCUGCAGCCAAUCAGAAGCGGCGGAUGCCUCUGGGCGCUGCCCCUUCCUUCCCGCUGAGGCGGCCGAGCAGGAGGAAGCCAGCUGGAAAUGUAAAGAAACUGAAGGUACAUUCUUCCACCUUUGGUGGACGUGCCCAAGGAUUAAGGCUUUCUGGGAGAUGAUUUAUAAUGAAAUGAAAAGGGUAUUUAAAUAUACCUUUCUGAAGAAACCAGAGGCCUUUCUCCUGGGCAUGGUCGGCCAAAUGGUGCUAAAGAAGGACAGAACUUUUUUUAUGUAUGCCACAACAGCAGCAAGAAUACUUAUUGCAAAGUAUUGGAAGACACAAGAACUACCCACUCUGGAAGAAUGGCAGAUGAAGGUGAUGGACUACAUGGAAUUGGCGGAAAUGACUGGCAGAAUCUGAGACCAGGGAGAAGAGUCGGUGGAAGAAGAUUGGAAGAAAUUUAAAGACUAUUUACAGAAAUAUUGCAAAAUUAAUGAAUGUUAGAAGGAUGUCAGAAUGAAGUUAAGUGGUUUAAGCAGCAAUGUUAUAAAGGUGUAUGUAAAAAUGGAUUGUUAACAGGUGAGAAUCCAAAGUUAUAAUAUAUUAUGUUAAAGGACUAAGAUAAAAACAAAGAGGGAAAGAAAUUGCUGAAUUAACUACCGUAUUUUUUGCUCCAUAAGACUCACUUUUUCCCUCCUAAAAAGUAAGGGGAAAUGUGUGUGCGUCUUAUGGAGCGAAUGCAGGCUGCACAGCUAUCCCAGAAGCCAGAACAGCAAGAGGGAUUGCUGUUUUCACUGCGCAGCGAUCCCUCUUGCUGUUCUGGCUUCUGAGAUUCAGAAUAUUUUUUCUUGUUUUCCUCCUCCAAAAACUAGGUGCGUCUUGUGGUCUGGUGCGUCUUAUAGAGCGAAAAAUACGGUAACUGAAUUGGAAUACAAAAAAGGGAGGCGUGAGGAGGUCAGGGAAACAAGGAAAUGAAUGUAAGGUAUGGAAAGACUGAUGUAUUUUUUUAAAGUGUUUUUUAUCUUUUUUUGUAUUUUGUAUUUUUUCUUUUAUUUUUUCUUUUGUCUUUCUUUUUCUUCUUUUUUUAAUUUAUGUAAUUCUUUUCUUUGAAACCUUAAUAAAUAUCAUUAAAAAAAAAUAAAUGGAGGAAGCCAGCGGCAUGGGCUCUGUGCCCCCUCAAGACAGAGGACGCCGAAGCUGCCGAAGAUGAGGCAGCAAUUGUGGCAUGUGUGGCAUAGGCGGGGGGCCCUUUCGGGAGGGGGGUUGCUUUCGGGAGGCGGUGGGUCCGGCCCCUCCUGAAAAUGUUUGCUGACCCCGGGACUAGAUGAUCCUCAGGGUCCUUUCCAACUCUACAAUUCUGUGAUUCUAAUCUGCCUCCCUGUUUCUUUCCUCCUAAGAACGUAAGAGACUGGCUGCUGGAUCAGAGCAAUGCACACAUAGUCCAGCAUCCGGUUAUCGUAUUGGCCAACCGGAUGCCCAAGGGAACCUGCAAGCAAGAUCUGAGAACAGCGCUCUCCCCAUUGUGAAUACCAAGGUGGUAUUCAGAAGCAUUGCUUCCUCCGGUGAUGGGGAGAGAAUGCAGCCGUCUUGGCUAGUAGCGCCGAUAGUCUUCUCUUCCACAAGCUAGCCUAAUCUUUCCACAUGCACCCCAGAUUGGCUCAAAGGCACCAGGAAACCCCC
Podarcis lilfordi (Lilford's wall lizard) is the source of this 6197-nucleotide non-coding RNA. NCBI's taxonomy places the organism in Eukaryota, Metazoa, Chordata, Lepidosauria, Squamata, Lacertidae. The record is from the annotation of a GenBank genome assembly.